RNAcentral lists this ribosomal RNA (715 nucleotides) under Clostridioides difficile. RNAcentral's name for it is "partial 23S ribosomal RNA". It matches the Rfam family "Bacterial large subunit ribosomal RNA", at positions 293 to 1012 of the family's 2925-position model. The record is from RNAcentral. Lineage: Bacteria; Bacillati; Bacillota; Clostridia; Peptostreptococcales; Peptostreptococcaceae.
UGGGGUUGCGGACAUAUCAUAACGAAGAGGUAUCGUAAUUGAAGAGGUUUGGAAAGACCCACCACAGAAGGUAAUAGUCCUGUAUGUUAAACGAGAAGACUUCAGAUAUGAUCCAGAGUACCACGGGACACGUGAAACCCUGUGGGAAGCAGGAGGGACCACCCUCCAAGGCUAAAUACUACCUAGUGACCGAUAGCGUAUAGUACCGUGAGGGAAAGGUGAAAAGAACCCCGGGAGGGGAGUGAAAUAGAACCUGAAACCCUGCACUUACAAGCUGUGGAAGCACAUUUCUUGUGUGACCGCGUACUUUUUGUAGAACGGGCCAACGAGUUACGUUAAGUAGCAAGGUUAAGCACUUAAGGUGCGGAGCCGUAGCGAAAGCGAGUUUUAACUGAGCGUUCAGUUACUUGACGUAGACCCGAAACCGGGCGACCUACCCAUGAGCAGGAUGAAGCGAAAGUAAAAUUUCGUGGAGGUCCGAACCCACGAGCGUUGAAAAGCUCGGGGAUGACUUGUGGGUAGCGGUGAAAUUCCAAUCGAGCCCGGAGAUAGCUGGUUCUCCCCGAAAUAGCUUUAGGGCUAGCCUCAAGGUGAGAGAUACGGAGGUAGAGCACUGAAUGUCCUAGGGGGUAUUGCACCUACCGAAGACUAUCAAACUCCGAAUGCCGUCAUCUUAUACUUGGGAGUCAGACUGUGGGUGAUAAGAUUCAUAGUC